Molecule: non-coding RNA, 273 nt
Organism: Pelobates cultripes (western spadefoot toad)
Lineage: Eukaryota; Metazoa; Chordata; Amphibia; Anura; Pelobatidae
Source: the annotation of a GenBank genome assembly
AUUUAGUAUAGAGGGCAGUGCUGGGAUUACCAGAACCCAGACUCGGACCCAGAUUUAUGGGAAAGGGAGACAGCUUUAUAAGAAUGGCGAUCGGCAAAACCAGAUCAUAUGAGGAUCCUUUCCCUUCAAGACUACACUGUUUCCACAGCCUCUCCAUCUAGCCAUUGGAUACCUUCAACAGAGAAGUGAUCAAUAUCAACAACAACAUAUUGAUUGGUGAGAUCCACCCAUUUGCUAUUAUCCGAUCAGUGCACUGUUCCCUCUGUUCUUGCC